UACGAAGGGGGCUAGCGUUGCUCGGAAUCACUGGGCGUAAAGCGCACGUAGGCGGAUUCUUAAGUCAGGGGUGAAAUCCCGGAGCUCAACUCCGGAACUGCCUUUGAUACUGAGAGUCUCGAGUUCGGGAGAGGUGAGUGGAACUGCGAGUGUAGAGGUGAAAUUCGUAGAUAUUCGCAAGAACACCAGUGGCGAAGGCGGCUCACUGGCCCGAUACUGACGCUGAGGUGCGAAAGCGUGGGGAGCAAACAGG
RNAcentral lists this ribosomal RNA (253 nucleotides) under uncultured bacterium. Its description in RNAcentral is "partial 16S ribosomal RNA". It matches the Rfam family "Bacterial small subunit ribosomal RNA", at positions 524 to 776 of the family's 1533-position model. The record is from RNAcentral.